Molecule: ribosomal RNA, 464 nt
Filed under: uncultured bacterium
Lineage: Bacteria
Description: bacterial SSU rRNA
Rfam family: Bacterial small subunit ribosomal RNA
Source: RNAcentral
CCUACGGGUGGCACCAGUGGGGAAUAUUGCACAAUGGGCGCAAGCCUGAUGCAGCCAUGCCGCGUGUGUGAGGAAGGCCUUCGGGUUGUAAAGCACUUUCAGCGAGGAGGAAGGCGUUAAGGUUAAUAACCUUGGCGAUUGACGUUACCCGCAGAAGAAGCACCGGCUAACUCCGUGCCAGCAGCCGCGGUAAUACGGAGGUGCAAGCGUUAAUCGGAAUUACUGGGCGUAAAGCGCACGCAGGCGGUCUGUCAAGUCGGAUGUGAAAUCCCCGGGCUCAACCUGGGAACUGCAUUCGAAACUGGCAGGCUAGAGUCUUGUAGAGGGGGGUAGAAUUCCAGGUGUAGCGGUGAAAUGCGUAGAGAUCUGGAGGAAUACCGGUGGCGAAGGCGGCCCCCUGGACAAAGACUGACGCUCAGGUGCGAAAGCGUGGGGAGCAAACAGGAUUAGAUACCCCUGUAGUC